AUUGAACGCUGGCGGCAUGCUUUACACAUGCAAGUCGAACGGUAACAGGGUGCUUGCACCGCUGACGAGUGGCGAACGGGUGGGUAAUGCGUCGGAACGUGCCGAGUAGUGGGGGAUAACGCAGCGAAAGUUGUGCUAAUACCGCAUACGUACUGAGGUAGAAAGUGGGGGACCUUCGGGCCUCACGCUAUUCGAGCGGCCGACGUCUGAUUAGCUAGUAGGUGAGGUAAAGGCUCACCUAGGCGACGAUCAGUAGCGGGUCUGAGAGGAUGAUCCGCCACACUGGGACUGAGACACGGCCCAGACUCCUACGGGAGGCAGCAGUGGGGAAUUUUGGACAAUGGGCGAAAGCCUGAUCCAGCCAUGCCGCGUGUCUGAAGAAAGCCUUCGGGUUGUAAAGGACUUUUGUCAGGGAGGAAAUCCCUAGUGCUAAUAACACUGGGGGAUGACAGUACCUGAAGAAUAAGCACCGGCUAACUACGUGCCAGCCGCCGCGGUAA
This 500-nucleotide ribosomal RNA is filed under the name uncultured bacterium. RNAcentral describes it as "partial 16S ribosomal RNA". It matches the Rfam family "Bacterial small subunit ribosomal RNA", at positions 30 to 523 of the family's 1533-position model. The record is from RNAcentral.